CUCGGUGAGGACGUAUGUAAUGGUGCUGCCUAAGUCCUGUGGAAAUCUAGCCCGAUCUAGCCUGUAAUUUCAAAUCUGCCAAAUCACCUUAUCAGUUAUCACGUGUGGCCUGAAACCGAUGUCGUUGAUUGCUACUUGUAUCGGUUGUAUGUAUAACCCAUGCAGAAACACUUGACAGCCAAACAUCCAAGUAUGAGCUGCAGCCAGUUGGUGGAAGGUGUGAACAAGUCAGCUGUUGUAUUCAGUUUGUGAGGCAUCCCAUGCAGAAACCAGAAAAGAUUCACAAAAAGGUAAAAUUUUGUCCGCCAGGUGGUGGAGUGUGUUCAUGAGCGACGAAGCCGCCAUAUGCAGAUGCUUUUGAGACAGCGUACGAGAAUGUGUUGCUGCUUAAUGACAGUGUUCUUCGCUUUUAGCCUUUUACAUUUUAAAAUAUGUUUGUAAGCCAAGCGAUUCGAAAGUGAAGAAUUCUAAAGCAUCAUGUCGGUAGUUUUUGCUUUUCUCCACGUUAUCGCUGCCGCGUUAUGAAGAUGCGUCUUUGAGAGGGUUCCUACUUAGCUGUUUGCCGUUCAUAGUUAGAAAAUAAAAGAAUUAUGGCAAAUAAUAAAUAAGUUUACGAGA
This is a long non-coding RNA of Daphnia pulicaria, 618 nucleotides long. RefSeq lists it as uncharacterized. Lineage: Eukaryota; Metazoa; Arthropoda; Branchiopoda; Diplostraca; Daphniidae. The record is from RefSeq and is a predicted model, not a curated record. The transcript is spliced from 5 exons.